UGGUGGAGUGAUUUGUCUGGUUUAUUCCGAUAACGAACGAGACCUCGACCUGCUAAAUAGUACACUGAACUCUUUGGGUUCAUGUGGCACUUCUUAGAGGGACUAUCGGUGCAAACCGGUGGAAGUUCGAGGCAAUAACA
RNAcentral lists this ribosomal RNA (140 nucleotides) under uncultured eukaryote. RNAcentral's name for it is "partial 18S ribosomal RNA". It matches the Rfam family "Eukaryotic small subunit ribosomal RNA", at positions 1299 to 1458 of the family's 1831-position model. The record is from RNAcentral.